RNAcentral lists this ribosomal RNA (641 nucleotides) under Lactococcus lactis. RNAcentral's name for it is "bacterial SSU rRNA". It matches the Rfam family "Bacterial small subunit ribosomal RNA", at positions 46 to 670 of the family's 1533-position model. Lineage: Bacteria; Bacillati; Bacillota; Bacilli; Lactobacillales; Streptococcaceae. The record is from RNAcentral.
GCCUAAUACAUGCAAGUUGAGCGCUGAAGGUUGGUACUUGUACCGACUGGAUGAGCAGCGAACGGGUGAGUAACGCGUGGGGAAUCUGCCUUUGAGCGGGGGACAACAUUUGGAAACGAAUGCUAAUACCGCAUAAAAACUUUAAACACAAGUUUUAAGUUUGAAAGAUGCAAUUGCAUCACUCAAAGAUGAUCCCGCGUUGUAUUAGCUAGUUGGUGAGGUAAAGGCUCACCAAGGCGAUGAUACAUAGCCGACCUGAGAGGGUGAUCGGCCACAUUGGGACUGAGACACGGCCCAAACUCCUACGGGAGGCAGCAGUAGGGAAUCUUCGGCAAUGGACGAAAGUCUGACCGAGCAACGCCGCGUGAGUGAAGAAGGUUUUCGGAUCGUAAAACUCUGUUGGUAGAGAAGAACGUUGGUGAGAGUGGAAAGCUCAUCAAGUGACGGUAACUACCCAGAAAGGGACGGCUAACUACGUGCCAGCAGCCGCGGUAAUACGUAGGUCCCGAGCGUUGUCCGGAUUUAUUGGGCGUAAAGCGAGCGCAGGUGGUUUAUUAAGUCUGGUGUAAAAGGCAGUGGCUCAACCAUUGUAUGCAUUGGAAACUGGUAGACUUGAGUGCAGGAGAGGAGAGUGGAAUUCC